AACGAACGCUGGCGGCAUGCCUAACACAUGCAAGUCGAACGAGACCUUCGGGUCUAGUGGCGCACGGGUGCGUAACGCGUGGGAACCUGCCCUUAGGUUCGGAAUAACUCCCCGAAAGGGGUGCUAAUACCGGAUAAUGUCUUCGGACCAAAGAUUUAUCGCCUUUGGAUGGGCCCGCGUUGGAUUAGCUAGUUGGUAGGGUAAAAGCCUACCAAGGCGACGAUCCAUAGCUGGUCUGAGAGGAUGAUCAGCCACACUGGGACUGAGACACGGCCCAGACUCCUACGGGAGGCAGCAGUGGGGAAUAUUGGACAAUGGGCGAAAGGCUGAUCCAGCAAUGCCGCGUGAGUGAUGAAGGCCUUAGGGUUGUAAAGCUCUUUUACCCGGGAUGAUAAUGACAGUACCGGGAGAAUAAGCGCCGGCUAACUACGUG
This 433-nucleotide ribosomal RNA is filed under the name uncultured bacterium. Its description in RNAcentral is "partial 16S ribosomal RNA". It matches the Rfam family "Bacterial small subunit ribosomal RNA", at positions 29 to 507 of the family's 1533-position model. The record is from RNAcentral.